Long non-coding RNA from Notothenia coriiceps (black rockcod), 1252 nucleotides. RefSeq lists it as uncharacterized. The record is from RefSeq and is a predicted model, not a curated record. The transcript has 3 exons. NCBI's taxonomy places the organism in Eukaryota, Metazoa, Chordata, Actinopteri, Perciformes, Nototheniidae.
CUCCCCUCUCUUUUCUCCCCUUGCCUCUUGGCAGCAGUGCCAAAGUGGGCAGUCGGACCGAGGCAAACACAGCACAGGGCAGAGCAGAGGGCGAUCCAAAGGCUGGCGAAUUGAUUAUGUGUGUGUUUGUGUUUUGUGUUCUCCGUCUGUGGGUUUGUCUCCGUUUUGGGCACACCAAACUGCAAGUAACGGCUAUGUUAGAGCAGGCGUCCCUCUGUCACCCUGUGUACGGACAGACGCACUCACGCCAGUAGGAGGGGAUAGUGGGAAGGGGGUGUAGCUCACAGAGGGUGUGCUCUACUCCUCUCUUUUCCCUUCUUCCCGCCAUCACGGCCCUCUUCUCCUCCAGUCCUCCGGCCCAGCCCGGCGCUCACGUACAGGCUCCAGGAAAAUGACUUUUGGGGAUCUUUGAUGCGGAAGCAACGUGAAUGCUGUCCUUGGGGCUGAGGUAGUAGAUUGAAUAGUUGUGGGGUUUUGUAACCUCUUUUUGAGAUAACUAUACAAUCUACUGUCUUUCCCAAGGAGACAGCUGAGUCAGCCACUCACCGACUGUCAUCUCCAGAUGGGCAAUCCCGCUUCCAAUCAAAACUUGGAGUUGUCAACAUAUUGUGAAGCAUUGUUAUCUGUGUGCAGGUUAAUUAGCUUGGAUGUUCCCGAAUAGGACGUGGACGUGUUUGAUUCGGGCUCUUUCAGGGUGAGGUAGUAGGUUGUAUAGUUUGGUGGGUGGGACUGCACCCUGCUCAGGUGAUAACUAUACAGUCUAUUGCCUUCCCUGAGGAGUCACUGAACAUGAUUCCUCAACACACUCUCAUUUUUGUAUCGCAUUUAUUUGUAGAUAACAGGAAGAAAGAGCAAGUUAUAUGAGCAGAACAAAUGUACACAUGAAAUGAUUGAGGCUGUAAAAUGACUGAUAUUAUGUACAUCUGUAUAAAGUCUUACUUGAUUAAAAUGGGUUGUUCAAUAAUCAGUGAAUGUGAAAGUGUUUGUCAACUACUAUGAUGGUGUGAUAAUUUGUGUACAACAGCAGCUAGUGAGUGUGUUAGUCUACAGCAUCCUCUAGUGGAAACUAAUGAUAGCUUUGAUACAAAUAAAGUCAGCAGACAAGGAGCAGACACUGAUUGUAAUGGCAAGUAAGAGAAUGCAUUUUUUUCAAACAAACAAACAAACAAACAAACAAACAAACAAACAAACAAACACUCUCUGGCUGCCAGUAGUUUCCCAGUUGUUUAUGUGUAAUAAAGUCUCAAAUAUU